UAGUCCACGCCGUAAACGAUGUCUAUUAGCCGCUGGUUCUGUUACGGAAUUGGUGGCGAAGCUAACGCGAUAAAUAGACCGCCUGGGGAGUACGGCCGCAAGGUUAAAACUCAAAUGAAUUGACGGGGCCCGCACAAGCGGUGGAGCAUGUGGUUUAAUUCGAAGCAACGCGAAGAACCUUACCUACUCUUGAAAUCCUGUGAAGUUACCAGAGAUGGUUUCGUGCCUUCGGGAACACAGUGACAGGUGCUGCAUGGCUGUCGUCAGCUCGUGUUGUGAAAUGUUGGGUUAAGUCCCGUAACGAGCGCAACCCCUAUCCUUAGUUGCCAGCGAGUAAAGUCGGGGACUCUAAGGGGACUGCCGGUGACAAACCGGAGGAAGGCGGGGAUGACGUCAAGUCAGCAUGGCCCUUACGAGUAGGGGCUACACACGUGCUACAAUGGGGGCUACAGAGGGGUUGCGAAGCCGCGAGGGUGGAGCUAAUCUCAGAAAGCGUCUCGUAGUCCGGGAUUGGGAGUCU
This 520-nucleotide ribosomal RNA is filed under the name uncultured bacterium. Its description in RNAcentral is "bacterial SSU rRNA". It matches the Rfam family "Bacterial small subunit ribosomal RNA", at positions 791 to 1306 of the family's 1533-position model. The record is from RNAcentral.